This 290-nucleotide long non-coding RNA is filed under the name Setaria viridis. Its description in RNAcentral is "long non-coding RNA (SVIR_LNC006140)". The record is from RNAcentral. Lineage: Eukaryota; Viridiplantae; Streptophyta; Magnoliopsida; Poales; Poaceae.
AACAACCCUCCGUGUCUAAUCUAAUAGUUCGCCAUGUCCCUCACGUUGCUCCCUGAUUUCGCCGGGUGCCCAGAUCCGCCACUGGUCAUUGCGCGCCGCCGUGCUCCCGGUAGCCCCUGGCCAUGAGCGGCAACUGACCCUGCUGCCUGCCUGCCGUGCAGGACCUGUGCUCCCGGUCCCCCAGCCCUCCGCAUGGCACCUGGUGGUGUCCCGCCGCCGCUCAUUGGUUGGCGCACAGGCUCUCCUCCAUGCGGCAGGUGGCAGUACCUUCUGAUUUUCAGGAAAGUUAG